GGGCGCCCUUCCUCCGGAGCGCCAAUGCCGACCUGAUUUCGCAAGCAGGGUGAACAGAAAGUUGUAUUAAUGAUCAGUAAUAGUGUCAGUUUUGCUGGCGGGGUCCUGCAUACACGCCUCCAAGACCAUUUAUUAAUAAGAUGGCUGGCUGGCUGAUGAGAAUGCGUACUUAAAAGCGCAUAGCAUCGGAAUAUCCAUUUCAUGCCCUACCUAUUAUAUGGGCUACCAGCUGUUUGCUAUUAGCUGAGACGAAGUCCUCUGCGACUGCUGUAUGCAGGACAAACUUCGUGUC
RNAcentral lists this long non-coding RNA (292 nucleotides) under Volvox carteri. Its description in RNAcentral is "long non-coding RNA (VCAR_LNC001753)". Lineage: Eukaryota; Viridiplantae; Chlorophyta; Chlorophyceae; Chlamydomonadales; Volvocaceae. The record is from RNAcentral.